AAUUGGAGGGCAAGUCUGGUGCCAGCAGCCGCGGUAAUUCCAGCUCCAAUAGCGUAUAUUAAAGUUGUUGCAGUUAAAAAGCUCGUAGUUGAAUUUCGGGGUCAGCAGGUCGGUCGUGCCUACGGUAUGCACUGGCCUUGCUGAUUCCUCCCUCUUGAUGAGCCGUAAUGUCAUUAAUUUGGUGUUGCGGGGAAUCAGGACUGUUACUUUGAAAAAAUUAGAGUGUUUAAAGCAGGCAUGCGCUUGAAUACAUUAGCAUGGAAUAAUGAAAUAGGACGUUUGAUCCUAUUUUGUUGGUUUCUAGGAUUGACGUAAUGAUUAAUAGGGAUAGUUGGGGGCAUUAGUAUUCAAUUGUCAGAGGUGAAAUUCUUGGAUUUAUUGAAGACUAACUACUGCGAAAGCAUUUGCCAAGGAUGUUUUCAUUAAUCAAGAACGAAAGUUAGGGGAUCGAAGACGAUCAGAUACCGUCGUAGUCUUAACCAUAAACUAUGCCGACUAGGGAUCGGAUGAUGUUAAUUUUUUAAUGACUCGUUUGGCACCUUACGGGAAACCAAAGUGU
This 559-nucleotide ribosomal RNA is filed under the name uncultured Glomus. RNAcentral describes it as "SSU rRNA". It matches the Rfam family "Eukaryotic small subunit ribosomal RNA", at positions 546 to 1106 of the family's 1831-position model. The record is from RNAcentral. Lineage: Eukaryota; Fungi; Glomeromycota; Glomeromycetes; Glomerales; Glomeraceae.